AGAGUUUGAUCAUGGCUCAGGAUGAACGCUGGCGGCGUGCCUAACACAUGCAAGUCGAACGAAGCGCUUUUCCGGAACUCUUCGGAGGGAAAGGGAAGUGACUGAGUGGCGGACGGGUGAGUAACGCGUGGGCAACCUGCCCCAUACAGGGGGAUAACAGCCGGAAACGGCUGCUAAUACCGCAUAAGCGCACGGGACCGCAUGGUUCUGUGUGAAAAACAAUAGUGGUAUGGGAGGGGCCCGCGUCUGAUUAGCCAGUUGGCGGGGUAGAGGCCCACCAAAGCGACGAUCAGUAGCCGGCCUGAGAGGGCGGACGGCCACAUUGGGACUGAGACACGGCCCAAACUCCUACGGGAGGCAGCAGUGCCGCAUAUUGCACAAUGGGGGAAACCCUGAUGCAGCGACGCCGCGUGGACGAAGAAGUAUUUCGGUAUGUAAAGUCCUAUCAGCAGGGAAGAAGAAAUGACGGUACCUGACUAAGAAGCCCCGGCUAACUACAUGCCAACAGCCGCGGUAAUAC
RNAcentral lists this ribosomal RNA (520 nucleotides) under uncultured bacterium. RNAcentral describes it as "bacterial SSU rRNA". It matches the Rfam family "Bacterial small subunit ribosomal RNA", at positions 8 to 526 of the family's 1533-position model. The record is from RNAcentral.